RNAcentral lists this ribosomal RNA (495 nucleotides) under uncultured bacterium. Its description in RNAcentral is "bacterial SSU rRNA". It matches the Rfam family "Bacterial small subunit ribosomal RNA", at positions 903 to 1397 of the family's 1533-position model. The record is from RNAcentral.
AAAUGAAUUGACGGGGGCCCGCACAAGCGGAGGAACAUGUGGUUUAAUUCGAUGAUACGCGAGGAACCUUACCCGGGCUUGAAAUGCAGAUGCUAGGGGCAGAGACGCCUUUUUCCUUCGGGACAUCUGUGUAGGUGCUGCAUGGUUGUCGUCAGCUCGUGCCGUGAGGUGUCGGCUUAAGUGCCAUAACGAGCGCAACCCUCAUCAUUAGUUGCCAUCGGGUUAUGCCGGGGACUCUAAUGAGACUGCCAUCGUAAGAUGUGAGGAAGGUGGGGAUGACGUCAAAUCAGCACGGCCCUUACGUCCGGGGCGACACACGUGUUACAAUGGGUGGUACAACGGGUAGCUACUGGGUGACCGGAUGCCAAUCUCUUAAAACCGCUCUCAGUUCGGAUCGGAGUCUGCAACUCGACUUCGUGAAGCUGGAUUCGCUAGUAAUCGCGCAUCAGCCACGGCGCGGUGAAUACGUUCCCGGGCCUUGUACACACCGCCCGU